AUUCAGACAUUGAAACAUCCUCCUGUGUUUUCUGAGAAGAAGCAUGCUUUCUAAGGUACUUUAUGGAUUUAAAAUCAUUAACAUGCAUGUCUAAUUUAUUGUAUAUAUUCCUUACUGUAAAGAUCAGCAAUCACCAAUGCUGGACUGGGGAUAUAUAUUAUAGAGCUGGUAAAAGAAAUAUAUAAAUAUAUUUAUUUUAGCAGCUCUAUAAUGUAUUGCAUGAUAAAUUGAAAAGGUGGGGAAAAAAAGUUAAAAGAAAAUGAUUUUUUUUUAAUGUGAAGGUGUGCACUCAUAUGAACAAAUUAAUUGUAUUUUCCCCCCACCAACAUAUCUGUGCACUAUAUUUGCAAAAUGCAUUAUAAAACUAGUUUAUUCAAUGAGAAGGAAUACAAAUGUUUAUAUUAUAGAGAUAGAGUUUGGAAAUAAGACAAGAAAGAAUGAGACAGACAGGGUUGUUCACAAAUAAAAUAUACAAUAUUUGCUUCCCAAUUACAAAAUGCACACAUACCAGAUUUUAACAUGAAAGUACAAGCAUAAGUCAAAUGUACCCAUGUUAUCCUUUGCACAAUGGCAUACACCAAACAAAACUAGACAAAAAUCCCACCGUUAUACACGAGAGAGAGAGUGUGUGUGUGUGUGUGUGUGUGUGUGAGUGUGUGUGUGUACACAUACUCUAUGCCUAACAAACUGAACGUGUUUUGUAUCUACACCAAAUGCUGUAGUCUUCAUGCAUGGGUGGCUCAACACAAAGAAUGUGCAUUUUUGGAGAUUAUCCGUUCUAGUGUAGAGAGAUAAAUACCAGCCGUCUUAGCCAUUGUUUUCUGUAGCAUAUUCAGUUUCCAAAGCUUGAUAAUGGAAUUGUAGAAAAGUUACAGAUGGUGUAAAACUCAGUUCUGUCCAAGCUACCCCAGUGUCUGUGUGUUUGGUUGGACAGGAAAAGGAAAGGAUCACUUCCCACCUGCCCACUAACAGCCUUUCGCAUGGCAUAUGCCUUGAAUUAUUGUCCUAGAUGAAAGUAUUUGAAACAAAACCCUUUACCUUAAUCCUAAAUUUAAAGGGACACUCUAAGCACCACAAACUUUACAACUUAGUUCUUGUCAUUCGAACAGCCACUAGAAGGACUUCCUGGUGCGGGUUCCUGCAAUCUGUGCAGGACUGACGUUCAGUAUUUCCUUGCUCUGUAGGGAGACACUGAAUGUAUUCCAUAGAAAUGUCAAUGUAUCUUUAUGAGGAAUGCUGACUGAUGCACAGCCGUGCAUUAACAGGUAAAUUAGAUCUAUGUAUUUAAUUUUAAUAAUCUAAAUAAUGGAGGAAACUAUCUAAUGUAAGGAAUACAUGUUUGUAUUCCUAAUGGUAAAAUGUUCCUUCAACUCCUCUUAAAAACAAAAUACCCAAUGUACCACAAUUAACCCAACUCUAACACUAAUCCCAAGAAUCAUAAACACCCCAUAUAUCACAAAUAUAACUCAUCUUAAAAUUGUAAUCAUUUUAACCCUAAACCUAUGUAAUCUAACACUGACAUUAACCCCUCUAAAACCUUAUACCCACCCAGUCACCCUAAGCACUUCUAAAAUUAUGUUUACAGAGCUGCAUACAAUGAUUAUACUCACACGUUGAAAUGUAAUAUGCUCAUACCUUUAUUCAUUGAGUUGUCAAAUAUGAUUAUAUGCCUUUUAUUUUUAUUUUUUUAAAUAAAUGCAUUAACCUCACGUUAUCAGCCUUUUAUUUUUUGGGGGGUGGGGAGGUACAUAUGGUACCUUGAAAUUCUUUGCCUACAGGCACCUGAAAAUUGUUGUUAUUCUGUAUGUUUCCUUACUGACUUACAUGUGAAGAUGUGCUAAAGAUAUAUUGCCUGCUAUUAAUGUACAUUACUAAAGGUAGCAUUUUCCUUUAAUAUAUUUUCAGACUGUAACUGGCAGUUUUGCUUCAGUGAUCCAUGGUUUGACCAGCAGCAAUCUUACAGAUGCUGUGAUCCAGAGAAGCAAGCGUAUGAUCCUUGACACAAUAGGAGUUGGAUUAAUCGGCACCACAACUGAUGUUUUUCAUAAAGUCUUACAAUACAGCAAA
Molecule: long non-coding RNA, 2067 nt
Filed under: Pelobates cultripes (western spadefoot toad)
Lineage: Eukaryota; Metazoa; Chordata; Amphibia; Anura; Pelobatidae
Source: RNAcentral